Long non-coding RNA from Pseudophryne corroboree (corroboree frog), 381 nucleotides. RefSeq lists it as uncharacterized. NCBI's taxonomy places the organism in Eukaryota, Metazoa, Chordata, Amphibia, Anura, Myobatrachidae. The transcript is spliced from 2 exons. The record is from RefSeq and is a predicted model, not a curated record.
ACCAAGCCUACCAAAGGUGAAACGUACGUCGAGAGACGUCCUUAGUGACGUCACCGCAGCAACGCCCAAUCCGGAAGCGGGCGGCCGCGUUCCUCACUGUCAGCGGGUGCACGUCUGGGGGAUUUCGGGACUACACUGGCCGCACACCUUGCGGUCGCGCCACCUAAGAAGUCACUUCCACACCUGGCAUUCUCGGAUCUUCUGUCAGCUACAACAUCUGUCUGUGAGUCACCAGUUAGUUCCGGCCACCAGAAACUGUUUCGGGGAUUCUCAUUUGAGACCAGGAUAUACAGUAGCUGUUCUGCUGCAGAUUACAUUGGGUUUAAACCAAAUAAUUUAUUUUUAACAUCUGUAUUAUAUUAAAGCAAUGAUUUAACUUUA